GGACUUCUUCUGUCAAAAACACCUCUUGUCCUAAGCUACUAACGUUAGCUGGCUAACAGUACUGUGUGGAUAUAAAAAAUAAUGACAGAUCUUUUGAUUACUCAUAUUUUCAUCUGGACACCAUGCAAAGUGAAGCUACAGCUUUCAAUAAUGUGUUGCCUUGAAUUCACCUGGUGCCAUCGACGACACAGAGCUCAGUCAAGAAAGUCAGAAAAAAAAAGUUAAUGCCGAGUGAGAAUGAUAGUUUAACUUACUUCCAGUCUUUUGCUGUGAAUCAUUCAUUCAUACACAGCAUAGAAAGAACCUGCCUCUCCUACACAAGUGAAUCAACGAGGAUGAACAAGCAGCACUUUAGAGAUGUUCGAUCAGGUUGAAGUUCAGGCUCUGGCUGGGCCACUGCAUUGUCCAAUGGGCUCCCGAGUGGCACAGAGGUUUAAGGCACUGCAUCUCAGUGCUAGAGGUGUCACUACAGACACCCUGGUUCAAAUCCAGUCUGUAUCACAACCGGUCGUGAUUGGGAGUCCCAUAGUGUGGCGCACAUUUGACCCAGCAUUGUACGGGUUUUGCCGGUGUAGGCCGU
This 580-nucleotide long non-coding RNA is filed under the name Salmo salar (Atlantic salmon). RNAcentral describes it as "lncRNA (ENSSSAG00000082194.1)". The record is from RNAcentral. Lineage: Eukaryota; Metazoa; Chordata; Actinopteri; Salmoniformes; Salmonidae.